RNAcentral lists this ribosomal RNA (255 nucleotides) under uncultured bacterium. RNAcentral's name for it is "partial 16S ribosomal RNA". It matches the Rfam family "Bacterial small subunit ribosomal RNA", at positions 524 to 776 of the family's 1533-position model. The record is from RNAcentral.
UACGUAGGGUGCAAGCGUUGUCCGGAAUUAUUGGGCGUAAAGAGCUCGUAGGCGGUGUGUCGCGUCGGCCGUGAAAACCUGGGGCUCAACUCUGGGCGUGCGGUCGAUACGGGCAUCACUUGAGUUCGGCAGGGGAGACUGGAAUUCCACGUGUAGCAGUGAAAUGCGUAGAGAUGCGGAGGAACACCGAUGGCGAAGGCAGCCCCCUGGGCGUGACACUGACGCUCAGGCACGAAAGCGUGGGGAGCAAACAGG